This 789-nucleotide ribosomal RNA is filed under the name Salmonella enterica subsp. enterica serovar Senftenberg. Its description in RNAcentral is "partial 23S ribosomal RNA". It matches the Rfam family "Bacterial large subunit ribosomal RNA", at positions 1 to 722 of the family's 2925-position model. The record is from RNAcentral. Lineage: Bacteria; Pseudomonadati; Pseudomonadota; Gammaproteobacteria; Enterobacterales; Enterobacteriaceae.
GGGUUGUGAGGUUAAGCGACUAAGCGUACACGGUGGAUGCCCUGGCAGUCAGAGGCGAUGAAGGACGUGCUAAUCUGCGAUAAGCGCCGGUAAGGUGAUAUGAACCGUUAUAACCGGCGAUUUCCGAAUGGGGAAACCCAGUGUGAUUCGUCACACUAUCAUUAACUGAAUCCAUAGGUUAAUGAGGCGAACCGGGGGAACUGAAACAUCUAAGUACCCCGAGGAAAAGAAAUCAACCGAGAUUCCCCCAGUAGCGGCGAGCGAACGGGGAGGAGCCCAGAGCCUGAAUCAGCAUGUGUGUUAGUGGAAGCGUCUGGAAAGGCGCGCGAUACAGGGUGACAGCCCCGUACACAAAAGCGCAUGUGCUGUGAGCUCGAUGAGUAGGGCGGGACACGUGGUAUCCUGUCUGAAUAUGGGGGGACCAUCCUCCAAGGCUAAAUACUCCUGACUGACCGAUAGUGAACCAGUACCGUGAGGGAAAGGCGAAAAGAACCCCGGCGAGGGGAGUGAAAAAGAACCUGAAACCGUGUACGUACAAGCAGUGGGAGCCCCACCACUAAGCCAGUGGUGAACUCCACAUACGCAUCCUUUGCUGAGGAUACGGUUAACGGAGCGAAAGCGACGUUCAACCUCAAAAGAAGCAGAGGGGGCUUAGUGGUGGGGUGACUGCGUACCUUUUGUAUAAUGGGUCAGCGACUUAUAUUCUGUAGCAAGGUUAACCGAAUAGGGGAGCCGGAGGGAAACCGAGUCUUAAUUGGGCGUUAAGUUGCAGGGUAUAGACCCGAAACC